UACGGGGGGUGCAAGCGUUAUUCGGAAUCAUUGGGCGUAAAGAGCGCGUAGGCGGUCUUCUAUGUCAGAUGUGAAAGCCCGGGGCUCAACCCCGGAAGUGCAUUUGAAACUGGGAGACUUGAGUAUGGGAGAGGGAAGUGGAAUUCCUGGUGUAGCGGUGAAAUGCGUAGAUAUCAGGAGGAACACCGGUGGCGAAGGCGACUUCCUGGACCAAUACUGACGCUGAGGCGCGAAGGCGUGGGGAGCAAACAGG
Molecule: ribosomal RNA, 253 nt
Filed under: uncultured bacterium
Lineage: Bacteria
Description: partial 16S ribosomal RNA
Rfam family: Bacterial small subunit ribosomal RNA
Source: RNAcentral